AGCGAACGCUGGCGGCAGGCUUAACACAUGCAAGUCGAACGGUCCUUCGGGAUAGUGGCGGACGGGUGAGUAACACGUGGGAACGUACCCUUAGGUUCGGAACAACACAGGGAAACUUGUGCUAAUACCGGAUAAGCCCUUCGGGGGAAAGAUUUAUCGCCUUUGGAGCGGCCCGCGUCUGAUUAGCUUGUUGGUGAGGUAAUGGCUCACCAAGGCUACGAUCAGUAGCUGGUCUGAGAGGAUGGCCAGCCACACUGGGACUGAGACACGGCCCAGGCUCCUGCGGGAGGCAGCAGUGGGGAAUCUUGGGCAAUGGGCUAAAGCCUGACGCAGCCAUGCCGCGUGGAUGAUGAAGGUCUUAGGAGUGUAAGAUCCUUUCACCGGGGACGAUAAUGACGGUACCCGGGGAAGAAGCCCCGGCUAACUUCGUGCCAGCAGCCGCCGUAA
This 447-nucleotide ribosomal RNA is filed under the name uncultured bacterium. Its description in RNAcentral is "partial 16S ribosomal RNA". It matches the Rfam family "Bacterial small subunit ribosomal RNA", at positions 29 to 523 of the family's 1533-position model. The record is from RNAcentral.